Sparus aurata (gilthead seabream) is the source of this 191-nucleotide small nuclear RNA. Its record names the gene U2. It matches the Rfam family "U2 spliceosomal RNA". Rfam says of the family: U2 is a small nuclear RNA (snRNA) component of the spliceosome (involved in pre-mRNA splicing). Complementary binding between U2 snRNA (in an area lying towards the 5' end but 3' to hairpin I) and the branchpoint sequence (BPS) of the intron results the bulging out of an unpaired adenosine, on the BPS, which initiates a nucleophilic attack at the intronic 5' splice site, thus starting the first of two transesterification reactions that mediate splicing. NCBI's taxonomy places the organism in Eukaryota, Metazoa, Chordata, Actinopteri, Spariformes, Sparidae. The record is from Ensembl.
AUCGCUUCUCGGCCUUUUGGCUAAGAUCAAGUGUAGUAUCUGUUCUUAUCAGUUUAAUAUCUGAUAUGUCCUCUAUAUGGGGACUACAUAUUAAAUGGAUUUUUAGCCACGGGAGCUGAAACAGGGGCUUGCUCCGUUCACUCCACGCAUCGACCCGGUAUUGCAGCGCCGCCGGGAACGGUGCACCCCUC